Molecule: long non-coding RNA, 3395 nt
Filed under: Sparus aurata (gilthead seabream)
Lineage: Eukaryota; Metazoa; Chordata; Actinopteri; Spariformes; Sparidae
Description: lncRNA (ENSSAUG00010016156.1)
Source: RNAcentral
UCACAUACCUCUAAAUUCACCCAACUGCGUAGAAGCAAAAUCUGGGUGGCCGCCGUCAAGUACCGCCGUUCGUCUUCAUUCAAAGAUGUACCGUUGGUUUGGGAGGUCUCGCGAGAUCUCGCACAGUGUCCCUUCCCGGGCACCGUACAAUCCCGCCACUGAAUGUAUAGAUACCGGAAGCUUGCGAGCGGUAAAACUGGUUACGGCGUGUUUAGGUUAUAGCAUGGAUGCUGAGGACAUUUGCGUGAGAUAGCGUUGCUUGCCCAGUCUAGUUGACUAACGUUAGCUACGUUACAAGACAGUUACAGUAAUAGCUAUGUCGAAAAGAAAACACAACGUUACUCUCAACACGAAAGAAAAAGAUUGGUUGAGAGAAAACGUUCCAAGACGUACUUUGACAAGAUGGAAAAAAAGGAAAAUCAACAGAACUUUGACUGACAUUGAAAAACACACUGCUCAACGACAUGAAAUUGAUGAAGGUGCCAGCCAAAGCGAAGAGCAGAGAGCAGAGCCUUUCACAUUAACACAGGAAAUUGAUGAAGAUGCCAGCCAAAGCGAAGAGCAGAGAGCAGAGCCUUUCACAUCAACACAGGAAAUUGAUGAGGAUGCCAGCCAAAGCGAAGAGCAGAGAGCAGAGCCUUUCACAUCAACACAGGAAAUUGAUGAAGAUCCCAGCCAAAGCGAAGAGCAGAGAGCAGAGCCUUUCACAUCAACACAGGACAAUGUACCUCAAGCAAUAGAUGAUGUCCACACCCAAGGACUAACGGAAGAGCAAAGUUGCAUCUCGAUUCUCUCCUUUGCAUUGAGACACAACACUACAGGUGUAUUGAUGGAAGACCUGCUGAAACUUUUAAAGUUACAUUCUGCUGGGACAAGUGCAAUUCCAGCAAGCAAGUAUUUUUUGGGGAAACCAUUAGCUGGUAUUGUAGAUCAAUUUGAACACCAUCAUUACUGCAGCGUAUGUACUAAGUACCUUGGCACUUCACAGUCACAAGAAGAAACACUUACAUGCGUGUCAUGUUCCUCAUCCAUAACAGUAAAAGCCAGUUUACACGAAGGACAUUUCUUUAUCAGUAUUCCAUUAAAGGGCCAACUGAAAGAUAUUCUUGAGAAUCAGGGUAUGCAUGAUCUCUGUUUUCCUGCUGAUGACAGUAGUAGAGAAGUAAUAAAUGAUAUAUGUGAUGGCACCUUAUAUCAGGCCUUGCAGUCAAACAGUGAAGUGGAUUUCCUUUCCCUUACAUUUAAUUGUGAUGGUGUACCAGUCUUUCAGUCCUCUAAAUUUAGUAUUUGGCCAAUACUGUGUUGUGUUAAUGAGAUACCCCCUCAGUGCAGAGAUAAGCAUGUACUUUUAUGUGCUUUGUGGUUCGGUUCCAAAAAGCCAGACAUGACCUGUUUCUUCAAACCAUUUGUGGAGGAAUGUGCCAAUCUUUCAAAAACUGGUUUUAAGUGGCAUCAUCCUAUUGAUCAGUCAUGGAGAAAUGUGAAGGUGCACCCAUUGUGCUGUGUGUGUGAUGCAGUAGCAAGGCCUUUACUACAGAAUUUUAAGCAAUUUAAUGGUGAAUAUGGCUGUGGAGUCUGCCUUCACCCUGGGGUGCAAAUGAGGAAAGGACAAGGAAACUCAAGAGUUUACACAUGUUCAGCUGAAAAACCAAGUGACAGAAAUCACAAAACCACAGUAGAAAUAGGACAAAUUGCUGAAAGAGAAGGGAAGACUAUAUUGGGCAUAAAGGGCCCAUCUGCUAUUGUAGAUUUAGCAAAGUUUGAUCUAAUCAAUGGGAUGGUCCCUGACUAUAUGCACUGUGUGUUGCUUGGCGUGUGUAGACAAAUGGCGACUUUAUGGAUCGAUUCUAAGAGCUAUUCUGAGCCAUGGUACAUUGGCACACAAACAGCAAUCAUGGACAGACACCUCUUGUCUAUAAAACCACCAGGUAUUGUUGCUCGAGUUCCAAGAUCUCUCACUGAACGCAAGUUCUGGAAAGCCCACGAGUGGCAACACUGGCUUCUGUAUUAUAGCUUGCCAGUUCUGAAAGGCAUACUUCCACAGAAGUAUCACUCUCAUUGGGCGUUACUGAUAGAGGGCAUAAGCAUUCUGUUGGGAUCUGAAUUAAGUACAGAGCAGAUAAAUCACGCCCAUGACGCAUUAGUGUACUUUGUUGGAGGUGUGCAAGCGCUGUAUGGGGAAGAGCACAUGACAUUCAAUGUUCAUUCACUUCUGCAUUUAAGCCAAAGUGUUGUGCAUUGGGGUCCAUUGUGGGCCCACUCAGCCUUUAUGUUUGAAGCUUUCAAUGGAUACCUACUGAAACAAGUAAAAAGUAGUCAAGCUGUACCACAACAAAUAUGCAAACGAGUGAUGUUGUCCCGUGCUUUUCCCCGUUUAGCAAAACAAUUCCUAACAAAUGCACCAGCAGAGGUUAAAGAUUUCUGUAAUGAAAUGAGAACCGAAAAGCAUCAUGUCAAGAAGUUUGCAAAGUUUGCUGAGGUGACUGCCCUUGGUCCACCAAAUGUAAGAUUAAUAUCUGUUGGUGAUCAAGCUGCCCUCCACACAGUGAAACAGGUUCCCACAAACUAUGUGGUGAAUUACUACAAGAGAAUUGCUGUAAAUGCAGAAGUUGUACAUGGUCAUACCUACAGCAAAACAAAACAAAGAAACAACUCUAUUGUGCUUUUGAAGGAUGGGAGUAUUUUUAGAGUCUCCCACUUUAUUGACAUUGGUGAUCAGUGUUUAUAUGCCAUAGGGAACUAUGGUAAAUGCACAGUGCAGAAGUUAGCCAGAGGUUCUCUUAUCAAAACUCCACUGAGCUACAUGUCAACGGUGCACUUUCCCACAGGCUUUCACAAAGCCAUAAACACUACUCAGGUAGUUGGACCAUGUAUGUAUAUUCAGUGUCCACAAUCCAGCUCGUUUGUGUGUCGGCUGCUGAAGACAUAUUAUUGUAAAUGAAUGAUUGUGAACUAAAUGUGAAGAUGGUCACCUAUUAAUUUAGGGUCGCUGAGCUGGAAAGUAACUAAUUGCUAUUACUGUUACUGUAAUUGAGUGUAAUUGUACUGUGACUGAACUGUACGUUCUUUAACUUUAAGGUGAGAAACACAAAUCUAUUACCAAUGUAACUAUGAUGAAAUGGCAUAUAUCAGAAUGACAAAUACAUUUAUUCUUCUUUGAUACCUUUGCAAUGCAUGUCAUCAACUUGUAUGUAUUUCAAUGUAACGUCCAAAAAGAGACAAGUGCAAAACAACUUAAAGUUGCAUCUUAAUCAACUUGGGUCAGUUGGGUCAUGUAAAAAGAAAAAAAAUCCAUUGCCACUUUUCUGAAUUUUAAGUAAAUAUGCAACUUGUGUAAUGUCAUUUGCUAAUUUUGUGAAAAAUUAAAAUCUUUCUACAGCAAGAAAGGAGGGAGU